AUGGUACUCCCUCCGUCCGAAAAAGCUUGUCCAUCUAAUGGAUGUAUCUCGCACCAAGUUAGUGCCAGAUACACCCAUUUAAAUGACAAGCAGAGGGACAAAUUUUUUCGGACGGAGGGAGUACCAU
Non-coding RNA from Triticum aestivum (bread wheat), 127 nucleotides. Lineage: Eukaryota; Viridiplantae; Streptophyta; Magnoliopsida; Poales; Poaceae. The record is from Rfam.